CUUUUUGUAGUGGCACAGGAACUCCUUGCUGUCUAAUGGAAGAGAUGUUUUGGGAUCGACUAUUUGGAAACAGCAUGCUCUUCGUUGUAUUUUGGAAGAACGCUGUGUGGGUCUCAACUUUAUUAAUCUUUCUGCAAAGCUGGAUCAUAAGGAAAAAGAUUACAGAUUUGGAUUCGGGUUGACAGUGGGCUAAUUUAAAGAACUGAAGUUUUGUGUUCCUCCCAGCACGUUAAUGAAUGGGCGUCACUCCAUAGAACAUGCCACUCCAAUUUUCACCAAAGAAGUCAGGCACUCCUCCAUGCUUUAUUUUUUCUUCAAUAAGUUUGAAAGCCAUAGAAACCCGGCGAAAUUCAAAUGUUUGGGACUUUUUUCUUUGAACCACUUGUGAGUUGUCUUUUUCAAUGUUCGUCACAGAUUUCUGGUAUCAACUCGCAGUGUAUACUGUCAGCUUUUCGCCCUUACCCAGGUCCCUGAGUGAAUCGAUAAUUUUCUGUUAUAAAACAUGCAUCUUUGGGAUUUUUAGCCAGUUAGUAAUCUGUUUAAGAUUUCUUAUUUUAACCUGCAAGACAAAAGUUUCUUAAACUUG
This is a long non-coding RNA of Populus euphratica (Euphrates poplar), 586 nucleotides long. RefSeq lists it as uncharacterized. Lineage: Eukaryota; Viridiplantae; Streptophyta; Magnoliopsida; Malpighiales; Salicaceae. The transcript has 3 exons. The record is from RefSeq and is a predicted model, not a curated record.